GUAAAUGCAUCCCUCCAAAAUGUAGCUGACUGUCUUCUGCAGGUUGUCCUCUAACCAGUGAAGUAAAAGAUAUCGCCCGUUUCCAUGUGUAUUUUUUUGUUGUGUUAGUUUCAACAGCACGUACAAUCUGAUUUUCCCCCCUAAUCGAUAUUAGUGAUUUAUUGCCACUUGUCAAAACAACAGUGUUUUUGGUGCUUGUGCAGUUAAUAAGGUGGUUGUUUAAAUGAAUACAAGUAUUAUGAU
Long non-coding RNA from Coregonus clupeaformis (lake whitefish), 243 nucleotides. RefSeq lists it as uncharacterized. Lineage: Eukaryota; Metazoa; Chordata; Actinopteri; Salmoniformes; Salmonidae. The record is from RefSeq and is a predicted model, not a curated record. The transcript has 2 exons.